This 253-nucleotide ribosomal RNA is filed under the name uncultured bacterium. Its description in RNAcentral is "partial 16S ribosomal RNA". It matches the Rfam family "Bacterial small subunit ribosomal RNA", at positions 524 to 776 of the family's 1533-position model. The record is from RNAcentral.
UACGAAGGGUGCAACCGUUGCUCGGAAUUAUUGGGCGUAAAGCGCACGUAGGCGGCUUUGCAAGUCGGAUGUGAAAUCCCUCGGCUCAACCAAGGAAGUGCAUCCGAAACUGCAGAGCUUGAGUACCAAAGAGGAUCGCGGAAUUCCCGGUGUAGAGGUGAAAUUCGUAGAUAUCGGGAGGAACACCAGUGGCGAAGGCGACUACCUGGCCUGUUCUUGACGCUGAGGCGCGAAAGCUAGGGGAGCAAACGGG